GUAAGUGCACCAGAUUGGGAA
RNAcentral lists this microRNA (21 nucleotides) under Drosophila melanogaster (fruit fly). RNAcentral describes it as "dme-miR-2494-5p". The record is from miRBase by way of RNAcentral. Lineage: Eukaryota; Metazoa; Arthropoda; Insecta; Diptera; Drosophilidae.